AAAAUUUUUUUAGCAAAAUAAAACUUCUUUAAAUUUUCAAAAUUCUCAUGAAAAAGUUAUGGGAUGUUGCAACGGUAAAGAGCAAGCAACAGUUAGCGAAAGUAAUCAAGCUUACGAAAAUGAGCCCCAAACUAGGGACAACAUAAAGAAGAUUUGUGUGUGUAAUAAUUACGCUGGACCCCAAGUUACCUGUGCGCGCUGUGGCAAAUCGUAUCCAAAUAGCGAAGAGUAUUGUCCACACUGCUGCAAGCCAAACUCUACUUACGGCCCACUAACUGCUGGUACAAGUGUGAAAAUACGAAAAUGUUCCGCAUUAAAACGUUCUUGAAACUACAAGCCAACCAGAUCACAUAAAAUAACAAUUGCGCGUAAAAGUAUGCUACCACGGCAAACACGCGCUCUCUCAGAGUGGAUUUGAGAACCUAAAAUGUACUAUGACUGCGGUUUUUGAUUCUCCGGUAAUAUUAUUGUAAACUGGUCUCCAUGUACUAUAUUAAACUCAAACGAAAAAUUUCCAAUUCACUCAAAAAAGUUUUGUCAGAUUAUUUUCAAUAUUUUUUUAAAUUAAUUAUUGAAAUUUUUAAACGUGUUCGUCUCGUCAAAAUUAAUGUUUUAAAUUAAAAAAAUUGUUUCUACUACAAAUCGUCCACCUUCGAGCGGCGCAAGCAGUCAAAAUUUCAGGUCAUGAUCAAUUCCGAUGGGCAGCGGAGAAAGUCGAUGUAGAGGUGACUGUGCCAAACCCAGCUGUGCCAAACCCAGCUGUGCCAAAACUAGCUGUUGCAACACCAGAAGACGCCACCAUAGAAGCCGUAGUCAAAAAAAUAAUGAGCCUUGCUACUAUUGCCAACCAGAGUUUUGUCCUACUUAUCCCGAAUUUACGCUCUCUACUAGCGGCAUUUCCUACGUACAGUGCGAUUUUUGCUGUCAAAUCUAUCCCUGUUGUUGUUCACAAUGUCCUAAUUGUGGCUGUAGCCGAAUCAAGAUGAGGUCUAAAGAAGUAGAAAUUCCGCCGAUUGCAUUUUGUCCUUGUUGCCGCCAGGAGGCGCCAAAGGCCAACGGGCUACAACAUCUUUAUACACCCAAUCCCUGUUGCGCGUGUCAAUGCUCAUGCGCGCAGCAAGAACAAAUCGCCAAAUGUUUAUUGCGCUCUUAUAAAUUACCGCGUGGCAAGGGAAGAAAAUGUUGUCAGUGCAAACAAAAAAAAAGGGAAGAAAAACACAAACGAAUUAGGGAUCAAAAACAGAGUAAGAGCUUUCAUUACCCGGCUGAUCAAAAUGCAGUAGCCUGCCCUUGCAAAUCCGGCACAAGCGCCGCUUGCAGCUCACCGCCACAGCGUGUAGUUGAUAGUUGUUGCGAGCAGGCUAAAGCAUCGGUACGUCCAUGUGCAACGAACUCGAGGGCAAAUGCUACACGAACGCAACAAAAACAAAGUCAAUGUACGCGUGCGCCGCGUAGUAAAGCCGAAUGUCAACGUAAUGUUGAAAGUUGUGCUUGUAGCAGUAAAAAACGAAAGUCGUGCACUGCAAAUAAUCCAUCUGUGCCGCGUUGUCCUUGUGGUCGUGAAAUCGAAAUCCGGAAUAUAACUUACGACCUCCCCGUUUGUCGGAUUGACGCAGUAGACGAUAUUGGAUGCGGUCCUUGCAACUAAUAAAUGCACAUAACUACAUAUUGGCGCUUUGAAGACACUCUGAAGCAGGAACAAAAAAAGCAAAAACUUCCGAAUGCGCCUGCUAAAUUGAGUAAUGGGAUGUAGAAGUAGUCGACGAAGUAGAAGUCAUGGAUCGAGUAGGUCUUGCGAUCGCAAUUCGCAGCGCCAACGAUAUCCCACGAGUCAACCAUGCGAAAGACCGCGAGGUUGCGCGCGUAGACAAACAAAACCGGAAUGCUGUAGUAAUACCGUAAAUCUCUCAUAUCAAUAUCCACAACAAACGCAGUCGGAGUGUUUUCCAGACAUUUCGGAAAUACUUUCAGAAUAUUCAAAUGUUUCGGAAAUGCCGUCGUCUAAUAUGGAUUGUUGUAGCACCACUACGCGUGGCAAUCGUUGCAAUCGAUGCAAUGCAAGCGAAUGUACAUGUAACGAUGUGGUGCAACGAAAUGAAGAUAUUGGUUGUAAAACUGUGGUUUGUCUCACGUUCCAUCCGACGCGACGGAGGAGAAACUUUUAAAAGGGGAAUAUGAAAUGGAAAGUGUUAGAAGCUCGACUUUGUCUACACAUUAACGCUAAUAAAAUUCUGCAAGCACCAGAAAACUAUAAGAAUCCAGUAGCGACGUAAGCAUAAAAAAAAUUGCAAGGAAUCAUGGUGCAAUAGCAACAAUACAACCUCGCAUUCAGAAAAUCUUCUGUAACAAAUAUUUACCAACAAAAAUGUCGCUUUAAAGCCAGGCUCAUUGGAGGCGAGUGAUACUUUAAAACGGCACUUUUGCGGUAAAUCUAUUUUACAGACAUAAUUAUCGACGUUCAUCGUGGCAAUAGCUGAACACGAAUUCACUGGAUAUAAAAUUAUACUUAAACUGUAAUUAAAUUAAACACACAAUAAAUAUAUAAAUACCAUAUAUUCACACAGAUAAC
Non-coding RNA from Bactrocera oleae (olive fruit fly), 2569 nucleotides. The record is from RefSeq and is a predicted model, not a curated record. NCBI's taxonomy places the organism in Eukaryota, Metazoa, Arthropoda, Insecta, Diptera, Tephritidae.